RNAcentral lists this ribosomal RNA (466 nucleotides) under uncultured Actinomycetes bacterium. RNAcentral describes it as "bacterial SSU rRNA". It matches the Rfam family "Bacterial small subunit ribosomal RNA", at positions 8 to 485 of the family's 1533-position model. The record is from RNAcentral. Lineage: Bacteria; Bacillati; Actinomycetota; Actinomycetes.
AGAGUUUGAUCAUGGCUCAGGACGAACGCUGGCGGCGUGCUUAACACAUGCAAGUCGAACGGAAAGGCCCUGCUUUUGUGGGGUGCUCGAGUGGCGAACGGGUGAGUAACACGUGAGUAACCUGCCCUUGACUUUGGGAUAACUUCAGGAAACUGGGGCUAAUACCGGAUAGGAGCUCCUGCUGCAUGGUGGGGGUUGGAAAGUUUCGGCGGUUAGGGAUGGACUCGCGGCUUAUCAGCUUGUUGGUGGGGUAGUGGCUUACCAAGGCUUUGACGGGUAGCCGGCCUGAGAGGGUGACCGGCCACAUUGGGACUGAGAUACGGCCCAGACUCCUACGGGAGGCAGCAGUGGGGAAUAUUGCACAAUGGGCGGAAGCCUGAUGCAGCAACGCCGCGUGCGGGAUGACGGCCUUCGGGUUGUAAACCGCUUUCGCCUGUGACGAAGCGUGAGUGACGGUAAUGGGUAA